RNAcentral lists this long non-coding RNA (1548 nucleotides) under Canis lupus dingo (dingo). Its description in RNAcentral is "lncRNA (ENSCAFG00020019934.1)". The record is from RNAcentral. Lineage: Eukaryota; Metazoa; Chordata; Mammalia; Carnivora; Canidae.
AUGUGGUGGCUGCUCCGUGCCUGGGCCUCCCCACCAGCUGCCCCGGGGGACCGCGGGCACGUCCCUCGGGCCUCACCCCUGCGCUCUCCCCACCUGGACCUGGGCCAUGGCCCACGGGGGCCCUUGACCCCGCAGCGCCCUGUCCUCCCCCUGCAGGGCCCCCCCCACAGUGCCCUGUCCUCCCCCUGCAGGCCCCCCCGGAUCGCCCUGUCCUCCCCCUGCAGGCCCCCCCUGCAGUGCCCUGUCCUUCCCCUGCAGGCCCCCUCGCAGCACCUUGUCCUCCCCCUGCAGGCCCCCACCGCAGCGCCCUGUCCUCCCCCUGCAGGGCCCCCCCCGCAGCGCCCUGUCCUCCCCCUGCAGGCCCCCCCACAGCGCCCUGUCCUCCCCCUGCAGGGCCCCCCGCAGCGCCCUGUCCUCCCCCUGCAGGCCCCCUCGCAGCACCUUGUCCUCCCCCUGCAGGCCCCCCCGCAGCUCCCUGUCUUCCCCCUGCAAGCCCCCCCUGCAGCACCCUGUCCUCCCCCUGCAGGCCCCCACCGCAGCGCCCUGUCCUCCCCCUGCAGGGCUCCCCCCGCAGCGCCCUGUCCUCCCCCUGCAGGCCCCCCCUGCAGCACCCUGUCCUCCCCCUGCAGGGCCCCCCCGCAGCACCCUGUCCUCCCCCUGCAGGCCCCCUCACAGCACCUUGUCCUUCCCCUGCAGGGCCCCCCGCAGCUCCCUGUCCUCCCCCUGCAGGACCCCCUGCAGCACCCUGUCCUCCCCCUGCGGGCCCCCUCGCAGCACCUUGUCCUCCCCCUGCAGGCCCCCCCGCAGCGCCCUGUCCUCCCCCUGCAGGCCCCCCCCGCAGCACCCUGUCCUCUCCCUGCAGGCCCCCUCGCAGCACCUUGUCCUCCCCCUGCAGGCCCCCACCGCAGCGCCCUGUCCUCCCCCUGCAGGGCCCCCCCCGCAGCGCCCUGUCCUCCCCCUGCAGGCCCCCCCGGCCAUGCCCUGUCCUCCCCCUGCAGGCCCCCCCUGCCAUGCCCUGUCCUCCCCCUGCAGGCCCCCCCCACAGCGCCCUGUCCUCCCCCUGCAGGCCCCCCCCGCAGCGCUCUGUUCUCCCCCUGCAGGCCCCCCCUGCAGCGCCCUGUCCUCCCCCUGCAGGCCCCCCCCCAGCAGUGCCCUGUCCUACCCCUCAGGGCUCACGGCCCAGCUCCGUGGGUGACUGUGUGGAGGGCUGUGUUCCCCGAAAUGCUCCGAGCUCCGGGGAGCAGGGCCCAGGGACUUCCAGGGGAGCCAUCGCCAACUCCUCCGAAGGGAGAGGACAAAGUGGCAUUUGCGCAGCAAACUGAGGGUCAGUUGUGCACCCCCAGGUGGGGUGUUGGAUCGGGGCGGUGGGAGGGCGCAGGUCCCCCCGACCGGCCUGGUUCGCUCAGCAGCGUCUCCCCAGCUCCCAGGCCGCACUGGCCCAGGUGCUGGCACGCUCAGCCAAGGGGAGGCGCUCUCUCCAGAACACGCCAAUCUCCCCACAUGCUGAGGACGACCGGCCCUGCCCUAGUCCCGGCCCCGGCCCCCUGA